RNAcentral lists this ribosomal RNA (253 nucleotides) under uncultured bacterium. RNAcentral's name for it is "partial 16S ribosomal RNA". It matches the Rfam family "Bacterial small subunit ribosomal RNA", at positions 524 to 776 of the family's 1533-position model. The record is from RNAcentral.
UACGGAGGGUGCAAGCGUUGUCCGGAAUCACUGGGCGUAAAGGGCGCGUAGGCGGCCUGGUAAGUAGGGGGUGAAAUCCUGCGGCUUAACCGCAGGGCUGCCUUCUAAACUGUCAGGCUUGAGCACGGUAGAGGCAGAUGGAAUUCCCGGUGUAGCGGUGGAAUGCGUAGAGAUCGGGAAGAACAUCAGUGGCGAAGGCGGCUUGCUGGGCCGUUGCUGACGCUGAGGCGCGACAGCGUGGGGAGCAAACAGG